RNA transcript from Corvus hawaiiensis (hawaiian crow), 2550 nucleotides. It is a transcript of the gene named neuronal regeneration related protein, with no coding region annotated. NCBI's taxonomy places the organism in Eukaryota, Metazoa, Chordata, Aves, Passeriformes, Corvidae. The record is from RefSeq and is a predicted model, not a curated record. The transcript is spliced from 8 exons.
GGGAGGGAGGGAGGGAGGGGGGGAGAGAGAGAGAGACUUUCCCCCAGCUACCCCCACCCCUUUUUUCUUUUUUUUUUUCUCCGAGGCUGCACUUUGGGAGAGGUGCAGUCAUUCUUACCCACACCCCCUACCCUCUCUCCACUCCCCCAACUAUAAAUUCCCUUCUGUAGCAUGCUGCCCUUUUGUAAUCCACAUUUGUGUUUCAGAUCAUGUAGAAAGGACAGAAAGUGAGCAGGGAGCGGGGGCUUUUGUCUAUUGUUCUCCUUGUGCUACUUGAGAGAAACUGCAAUCCCAAGACUUAAUAGAACCUAAAAAUGCCCAUUUGUUAUACUUUGAGAUACCACUGCUGACAAACUCCUGAUUUUAAGGAUAUGCAUAUAAAUAUGGUGUUCUCUGAGAAGGACUGUCUCAGAAUCAGCAGGACAAAGGCACAAACUGGACAAAAGCAGCUCUUGGUCUGGCAUGAGAAAACUCAUACCUGGUUGAUAAUUACCAAGCCUGGUACUGGAACUGGAAUUGGAGUCUCCUUUAUGGAGACUGGAGGCUACUAAACUGAACACAUACGCAUAGAGGACCCAUAAUUCCCAGUUUUCAAGUUGUCAGUGUUUCAGGCAGAACUGCAUGUUGCUGUAUAGCAGUGUCUCAGUGAAUUACAGUAAAUCUUAAGUGGACUUCUCUAUGCCAGCAUCUUUUUUUCCAUUCCAGAAUCUUCCUCCAUUUGGCCAGGAUCUAAGCCAUGAUUCUCCAGCCCUUCACCAUUGCUCCCAAGGCAGAGAUUUAAAGUCCUUUGUCCAUUCAGGACUCUGAUUUAUCAGCCAAGUUCAAUGAUUUGGUUAAGCCAGAAGAUCUUUCCAACCAGCCGUGGGGAUGGGGAAUUUCCAAAGGGAAAUCUCCCCAUCUCGAAGGAAGUGAAUCGCAAGAAAAGUGAGGUGGAGCGCCUGGCUCCAGCAAGUGGCUAUGGACAACAUUUCACCAAAAUCAAUUACCUCUACGCUUUCUAAACAUUAUUUCUCCAUUCAUAUUACACAUGGUGUAUGGGUUUGAUGAGGUCAUGGUGUCAUGUAUUGGAAAUUGUUUCUGUGUAAAUCAUCAAGUGUAAGAAGAAACUAUGGGACUCUGAGCCUUGCUUUAGAGAAUAACAGUGGAUAAACGUGUACCAUAAAAAAAUAGUUUUUAACAUUCUAACUCAAGCGAAAGCUCUCAGAAUUUCACACUGUGAAUCCAUGUUUACAAACAUUACAGGUGGGCCCUCAGGCCUGGUUCUACCACAGCAAUGUCUUUCACUGCUCAAACUCCACAGCUCACACACAACUGGUAAACCACUCUCUCCAUUUCCACCAACCCAAACUGCUUCUUGCAGAGGCUGAGAGUCCCCUUUUUUUUCAUUUAGAUGUAACAAGCCUAGUAGUUUAUUUUCAUUGAUUGUCUAUAUAUCUCUAUAUUUUAUCCAUGUACUCUUUUGAUGUAUAGAAGUAGUAUGAAACUCAUGGUUUCCUUGUGGUAAGUGAUCGUGAUGCUGCCACGGGAUUUGAGACACUGAUGAAUGGUGCUAUUUUGGACUUUAAAUAUGCUCCUUGGCAAGGUAGCUCUGAUGGAGUUAUUUUUUAUUUCCAUGUUCUGAGAAGGUGUUGGUACUUUGUUUUUCUGAAUGUUGUUCUUUAGACUGGACUGACUUGUUUACUUGUGUCUUCAGUGUGGCUUUCUUAUUCAGUGCUGUAGGUGAGUAACUACUUAUAGUGUACAAGUGAGGAACUGAUUCCCUAUCAGUGUCCACUCACAAACAUGCAGUUAUAGUGGGAGCAAUCACAAAACUGUAAUUUUCGUAAAAUCUCCUUUCUGACUCCUAUCCACCUUAUGGAGAAAGAUGAGCAAUAAUUUUCCACCAACUUCUCAAAAUCUCUUGAUUUUUGUCUUUUUUUCUUACAAGCCUUUUUAAAAGAAGGGACAAGUUUUAAUGUCCUCUUCAAAUCCAUAAACUAGGGGAUAUAGUAAGAAAAAUACAGCAAAUUUCUGGGAAGAGAAGUCCUAAAGGGGAAAGUGUACAUUUCCACACUACUAUCUACGUGGACUUUACAUUUUUGUUCUUGCUCCCAAACUACUAUCAAUACAAAAUAACACAAACCACAAAACUAAGCAGUAUCAUCUACUCAUGGAGUGUUGUUGUGUUAGACACAGUCUGAAAGCCCACCUUAAUUUUUUAUAUAAUUCUGUCUUUUAGCUCUUCCUUUUACAGGGCAGGCCUUGUUCUGAACUGUCUUAGCUUCUGACUGUUAAAUACCAAUGCAUGCACUGCACUUCUAGAUUUCUUUCCUUUCCCUACCUUCUGUAUCCCUUUCCUUGUACACUUUAUUUUCCAAUAGAAUAGAUAUGUCUGCUGUGCUGUAUAUAGAGCAAGAAGUAAUAUUCAGCAGUUGUGGCAUUUAUGUAUAGUUGCAGUUGUGUACUGCUGAAAAUGCAGGCUUUUGUAACAAUGUGAUCUUUAAUAAUGCAAGUACCCAAUGUAUUUUAGCUAUUUUAGUAGGAUUUGUUCAAUAAAUAUGCAAGCUCUAA